AUGUUAGUCGAGGGUGNUUNUUCUUCGGAAGAGGUAACCGGCAGACGGCUCAGUAACACGUGGACAACUUACCCUUGGGACCGGGAUAACCCCUGGGAAACUGGGGCUAAUACCGGAUAGAGCAUCGGUUGCUGGAAUGCACGAUGGUCUAAAGCUGAGGCGCCCAAGGAUAGGUCUGCGGCCGAUUAGGUUGUUGUUGAUGUGACGGAUCAACAAGCCUACGAUCGGUACGGGUUGUGAGAGCAAUAGCCCGGAGAUGGGUUCUGAGAGAAGAACCCAGGUCCUACGGGACGCAUCAGGCGCGAAAACUUUACAAUGUGCGAAAGCACGAUAAGGGAACUCUGAGUGCCUCCUAAGGAGGCUGUUCGGGUGUCUAAAAAGCAUCUGAAGGAAGGGCUGGGUAAGACCGGUGCCAGCCGCCGCGGUAACACCGGCAGCCCAAGUGGUAGCCACGCUUAUUGGGUCUAAAGCGUCCGUAGCCGGCCAAGUAAGUUCUUUGGGAAAUUUGACCGCUUAACGGUCAAGCUAUCAGGGAAUACUGCUUGGCUUGGGACCGGGAGAGGUCAGAGGUACUCCAAGGGUAGGGGUGAAAUCCGUUAAUCCUUGGGGGACCACCGGUAGCGAAGGCGUCUGACCAGACCGGGUCCGACGGUGAGGGACGAAGGCUAGGGUCGCGAACCGGAUUAGAUACCCGGGUAGUCCUAGCUGUAAACGAUGCGGGCCAGGUGUUGGCAUUACUGCGAGUGAUGCCAGUGCCGAAGGGAAGCCGUUAAGCCCGCCAUCUGGGGAGUACGGUCGCAAGGCUGAAACUUAA
This 814-nucleotide ribosomal RNA is filed under the name uncultured archaeon. RNAcentral describes it as "bacterial SSU rRNA". It matches the Rfam family "Archaeal small subunit ribosomal RNA", at positions 51 to 859 of the family's 1478-position model. The record is from RNAcentral.